This 620-nucleotide ribosomal RNA is filed under the name uncultured Enterobacter sp. RNAcentral describes it as "bacterial SSU rRNA". It matches the Rfam family "Bacterial small subunit ribosomal RNA", at positions 61 to 670 of the family's 1533-position model. The record is from RNAcentral. Lineage: Bacteria; Pseudomonadati; Pseudomonadota; Gammaproteobacteria; Enterobacterales; Enterobacteriaceae.
GUCGAACGGUAACAGGAAGCAGCUUGCUGCUUCGCUGACGAGUGGCGGACGGGUGAGUAAUGUCUGGGAAACUGCCUGAUGGAGGGGGAUAACUACUGGAAACGGUAGCUAAUACCGCAUAACGUCGCAAGACCAAAGAGGGGGACCUUCGGGCCUCUUGCCAUCGGAUGUGCCCAGAUGGGAUUAGCUAGUAGGUGGGGUAACGGCUCACCUAGGCGACGAUCCCUAGCUGGUCUGAGAGGAUGACCAGCCACACUGGAACUGAGACACGGUCCAGACUCCUACGGGAGGCAGCAGUGGGGAAUAUUGCACAAUGGGCGCAAGCCUGAUGCAGCCAUGCCGCGUGUAUGAAGAAGGCCUUCGGGUUGUAAAGUACUUUCAGCGGGGAGGAAGGCGAUAAGGUUAAUAACCUUGUCGAUUGACGUUACCCGCAGAAGAAGCACCGGCUAACUCCGUGCCAGCAGCCGCGGUAAUACGGAGGGUGCAAGCGUUAAUCGGAAUUACUGGGCGUAAAGCGCACGCAGGCGGUCUGUCAAGUCGGAUGUGAAAUCCCCGGGCUCAACCUGGGAACUGCAUUCGAAACUGGCAGGCUAGAGUCUUGUAGAGGGGGGUAGAAUUCC